GGGGAUACUCAGGCGUAAAAUUAAGUUAUGGUCAAACACAUCGUAACACCAAGUUAGACGCUCCCUUGAGAGGUAAAUGUUGCCAACUACAUGCUUCUCUAGUUAUAUAAACUUCAGCCACGAAACUCAGUUGCACUCGGUGAUCGACUUGUCAGGGCUCCCCCACAAACAAGCGGCUGCUGGAAAAGAGUGGGUAAGUUGUGUUUGGUCUCUUUGCUAAAGAAACCAAACAAAGCUUAAAAGAUGUUUGAUGGCUAGUACUAUGGCUGGGACGCUGUAUGUACUGUUGAUGAAGUUAGGUGCUGUUCUGAGCAUUAUUUGUGGCUUUUUAGUUGAGAUUUGCACAUGGAGCUAUAAGCCGCUGUGUAUUGCUAUUGUGCGGUCAUUGCUAAAGAUGGUACAACUAGAGAAACAAGCAGUCGGCAACAUUCAUCUCUUGAGGGGGUGUCUAAUUUGGUGUUACGAUGUGUUUGACCAUAAAUUAAAUGUAUGCUGGAAUAUCCCUUUAGAUGUUCUGAGACCUGAUACCUAAAUUGAAGAAUUUCUUUUUUUAACAUAAGCUUUUUAAAAAGUGUUUUUGCAGAGACACGUGUGAGCAAAAAGAAAUCAUAUUAAAACAGGUGAAAAAGGGCCAUCUGAAAACAAACUUGCUGCUGGUUUGGAUAAGGGUGCACCUUGGUGAUCUGUAACUUCCUUUUUUCGACACAAAGUUAAGGGUGAUGGCUGCUGACCCCAGAUGGUCAGAGAUGGAUCUGCUAAAAUAAAAAAAGCAAUAAUAGAAAUAAUGACUAAAUAAAUAAUGCAAGGAUGCCCUUUCUCCUAGCCCCCCUCUCUUUUUCUGACAUUCACUUACCCAAUUAUUAUGUAAUGCCUUUUCCCCUUUUACUUAUCCACGAUCUGCUCUCUCCACCCUUCUGAUAAUGCUGCAUUUUUGUAGCAAAAGAAAGCUAUCAUCAACCUUUUAUUGUAGCAUAAAAGUCAGAGGAGCUGAUUUUAUACAAUACAAAUAUUAAUCUAAGAGGAAAUUAUUCCUUUUAAGACGUGGCGAUCACAACUCUUGCUUUAGUUGAUUUCCAACCCUGGCUCCUUGGCUACUGUGUCCCUGGGCAACAAUUGUGGCUGAAUUUCUAAACAAAGUGACAAAGGCUAUGAGAGUCUUAAGACUGAAACUUUUAAAAAGGAAAACCCCAGUUGCUGAAUCCUGUUCUCCUCUCCCCUUAUUCCGCCUCUACAAAACGCUUCACUUGUCAGCGCGGGCUCCCAAGCUCCUUUAAUAAACGAAAAUGUCGGGCUUUGAGUGGCAGAGUGUGACUGUUUAAAACCAUUGGGAUUCUGGUGUAAUCCUACAGAAGACGCGGGCAUAACCCGACUUAAAAGUCGUCUUGUCGCUCCACAUUCAACCGGAGAACCUGCAGAGGAGGGGCUAAGGAUUGUAAGAGAGGCUCUCGUGUAAGAAAAGAAUCAAGUGUACAUGUAGGCUUUCCAGGGAACCAGGUCCUAUUUGAUACAUGUAGCGUGGAGAGACUCGUGUGCUCUGGUGAGGCCUUGUAUCUGACACUUAAAAUAGAGUGAAAUGUGGGUUACUUCCACUGAGGAAGUCCCAUGGAUAAAACUUUGAGGACUGUCAGUCAGCAGAUACAGCGUCAAGUGAACAGGUUGCUUUGGAACCAGUGAAAAGGGGACCAGAGUGUUCAUUAUUGAAUGGUGGAUGUAUUAUCAUAAGUGGACUUUGUAAAGCACUGCAGAGACCCAAUGCUUGGGGACUGAGACUGGCUGAAGGUUUAGCUAAAUGCAGCUGUAGAUCAUUGCACAGAUAGCUGCAAUCUUUGAAGUUGUUUUCAUGUUAAAGGGGGAAAAAAACAACUUUCCCAAACUUCGCCUUCUUCUUUUUCCUCUUCCCUUUGUCUUCUUAGCAGACAGCUGUCUCAUACAAGAUGCUGCUUCCACAGGAGACCUCACUCCUUUCGCUCACACGCUCGCUGGCUCUGAGUUGCCAUGGAAAAAAAUAAAACCCAGAAAUGGGGCAGAAAACAGUUCAAUGAGGGAGCAGAGACUUUGGAGGGUCUGGAGGGAGGCAGCAAGUUUCUAGGGCCCAUCCUGUCAAACCAUCAAGCUCUUUUGAUGCGUGGAAAUGGAAAGGAAGAGGGAGUGAGAGAAAUUUUGGAAAAACUGAGAAUGAAAGAAGAAUAAAAAAAUGGGAGGAGGAAACUAAUCUGUUGACUGAAGUAAAAUUUGUGCAAAGGGAGUUGACAGCCUUUCAAAAAAAAACUGAUAUAUGUUACCAAAAGAAAUUAAAGUCUUGGGAAUUUUUAUAAGCAGUGAGGAAAAACAAGAUUGAGCGCCUAAUGAAAUACGAUUAAGACAGUCAAUAUCUUGCAGAGGGGGAAAUGACUCAUUGAAAUACAGAAAAAAAUCUGCAAGUUACUCUGUCUCCAAUAUAAGAAUUAACUGUCUAUUAUUUAGGUAUCAAUAAUCCAAAUGAGUACAGUGUCGAUGAUUAAUUACCAUACACAGUCAGUCAGGAGUGAGUGCAAAGAGACUGGCUGGCACCAAAGGCCUAUCUGUCAAACCAACAAAUCAAAAUGGGAUCAUAAAAUCAAAAGUAAUGGGAUAUUAUCUGUGGAGAAUUUAACUGUGGACGCUGUAGCUGAAAUAUGAUGCUUUGAUUAAUUUUCGGGUAUAUUUAACACCCAACAACGCUAGUGGAGAUUGAACUGGGGUCUCACUGUGAGUUAAAGCACAAAAGGACAAAACUGUACGCGUUCCCAAAAGAGUCAUCAGGGACAGAGUAACAUAUUCAGAAUUACACCACCACCUUAAGGGAAAUUACUCAUACAAGAUGAUCUCACUGAUUAUAAAUGUGGCCCAAAGCCCUGCAGUAAUGCAGCAAAGAGGAUGAAAUAUGCACACAAACAGAUAUGGAUGAAUAAAUAAAUCCGUAAAAGUUUGAAGCUCUCUGACACAUCAGCGGGGACUUGCUGGUGACAGCCCCUCCUCACUUUUUGCAGGGGGUUUUGAAGUAGCUCUGUCAGGAGGAGAGCCCUCAGAGGUUUUAGGGUAAAACACCUGUCUGAAAUCAAAUUCCCUUUUAUUUCCCUUAAUCCCACAGACUGAGAGGCGCAGAAAUGGGACUCCAUUGUCUUUUACAAACACAGCAUCAUGCAUGGUUGUGGAUACUAUUCUGUUGAAUUUGUAAGGUUUUUUUUUUUCUCUUUUCAAUUUGGUACUCUUCUGGGGCUUUGUGUGCAUUGCCAGGCUGCUGGGCCAGAUAUUUUAAAUAGAUCCUAUCAGUAAAAAGUGUGUCAAGUCUGGGUUGUAAAUUCAGCUUUUCUUUUGUCUUUUAGACUCUAUAGCUGCUGCUGUUGCACAUGUCCCUGACUGAGUUCAUGUAUUUAAGAUUUUUACAUUUUAACCAUACGACAGCAGCUGUUCUGUAAAGUGCAUCUAGCAGUUGGAGUGUCAGUGUCUACAUGCACAUGUGCAUAAACAUAUGUGCAGUACUGUUUGUAUAUGACAAGUUGGAUGCAUUCAUGUCCCAUCAGUGCAUAUUUCUAACUUAAUAUCCGCCCAAGAGUUUCUGUGCUCCCUUGUGUGGCUGCAUUCCCUAAUAUUAAGAUUAUCAUGGUUGUUAUUGUAAAUACUGACGUUGUUGUAACACUGAACCAAAAAAAGACCCAGAUGCAGACUCACAGGCUGGCAAAAUCAAAGUCCAUUUAAUCAAAAAAAGAGUCGGUACACAGGAUCCAAAAGAGCACAGGCAGAGGUAUCCAAAUCG
RNAcentral lists this long non-coding RNA (3775 nucleotides) under Xyrichtys novacula (pearly razorfish). The record is from RNAcentral. Lineage: Eukaryota; Metazoa; Chordata; Actinopteri; Labriformes; Labridae.